GGGGAUAACUACUGGAAACGGUAGCUAAUACCGCAUAACGUCGUAAGACCAAAGAGGGGGACCUUCGGGCCUCUUGCCAUCGGAUGUGCCCAGAUGGGAUUAGCUUGUUGGUGGGGUAACGGCUCACCAAGGCGACGAUCCCUAGCUGGUCUGAGAGGAUGACCAGCCACACUGGAACUGAGACACGGUCCAGACUCCUACGGGAGGCAGCGGUGGGGAAUAUUGCACAAUGGGCGCAAGCCUGAUGCAGCCAUGCCGCGUGUAUGAAGAAGGCCUUCGGGUUGUAAAGUACUUUCAGCGGGGAGGAAGGGAGUAAAGUUAAUACCUUUGCUCAUUGACGUUACCCGCAGAAGAAGCACCGGCUAACUCCGUGCCAGCAGCCGCGGUAAUACGGAGGGUGCAAGCGUUAAUCGGAAUUACUGGGCGUAAAGCGCACGCAGGCGGUUUGUUAAGUCAGAUGUGAAAUCCCCGGGCUCAACCUGGGAACUGCAUCUGAUACUGGCAAGCUUGAGUCUCGUAGAGGGGGGUAGAAUUCCAGGUGUAGCGGUGAGAUGCGUAGAGAUCUGGAGGAAUACCGGUGGCGAAGGCGGCCCCCUGGACGAAGACUGACGCUCAGGUGCGAAAGCGUGGGGAGCAAACAGGAUUAGAUACCCU
This 654-nucleotide ribosomal RNA is filed under the name uncultured bacterium. RNAcentral describes it as "bacterial SSU rRNA". It matches the Rfam family "Bacterial small subunit ribosomal RNA", at positions 139 to 788 of the family's 1533-position model. The record is from RNAcentral.